Cucurbita moschata (crookneck pumpkin) is the source of this 2854-nucleotide RNA transcript. It is a transcript of the gene named RNA polymerase II C-terminal domain phosphatase-like 2, with no coding region annotated. The record is from RefSeq and is a predicted model, not a curated record. NCBI's taxonomy places the organism in Eukaryota, Viridiplantae, Streptophyta, Magnoliopsida, Cucurbitales, Cucurbitaceae. The transcript has 14 exons.
AGAGAGAGAGAGCGGAGGAGAGAGUGGUGGUGGGGCUGAGAGAGAGAGAGAGAGAGAGAGACUGACGAGAAGAGUAAUAGGAAGAGGAGAAACAGGAUAGAGAGAGAGAUAGAGAGACGCCAUAUUCAUUCAACUGCUCUGUCGAAUAAUUUCUCACACUUUGCCCCUGUUUUCUCUUCCUCUUUCUCUCUUCUCUUUGUGAUUUCUUUUCACGUUUUCCAUAAUUUGUUCCUAAUGAGCCGCUUAGGGUUCAAAUCGGUGGUCUUUCACGGCGACGUGCGUCUUGGGGAACUCGACGCUAUUCCGGCGACAGACCAGAAUUUUCAGUUUCCGAAUAGCGAGAUUAGAAUCCACCGCAUAUCGCCGCCCAGUGAGAGAUGCCCUCCCCUUUCAGUUCUUCAGACAAUUUCUUCAUUUUCUCUCAGGUCUAAGCUACAAUCUUCCUUGCCUGUUGAGCAGCCGCACUUGAUCCAACUUCACUACUCCUGCUUCCAUGAAUUGAAGACGGCAAUUGUGUUGAUUGGGGACGAGGAAAUUCACCUGGUUGCAAUGCCGAGCAAGCAAAAGAACUUUCCGUGCUUUUGGUGUUUUGCAGUGCCCUGCGGCCUAUAUCUAUCCUGUCUAGGAAUGCUAAAUCUCAGGUGUCUUUCAAUUGUUUUUGAUCUAGACGAGACACUUAUUGUGGCAAACACUAUGAAAUCUUUUGAGGAUAGAAUUGAAGCUCUUCGACUUUGGAUUGGGCGAGAGACAGAUCCAUUGCGUAUAUCUGGAAUGUCUGCUGAACUCAAGCGGUACAUGGAUGAUCGGUCGCUGUUGAAACAGUAUAUUGAGCACGAUACAGUAAAUGAUAAUGGAAGGAUUUUCAAGGUGCAGCUGGAGGAGGUUCCUCCACUAAACGGCAACUGCGAGAAAGUAGUUCGUCCUAUAAUUAGAUUGCAGGACAAGAAUAUUGUCCUUACUCGCAUCAACCCAGAGAUUCGUGAUACCAGUGUUCUUGUGAGGUUACGCCCUGCAUGGGAAGAAUUAAGAAGCUAUUUGAUUGCUAGGGGUCGUAAGCGAUUUGAAGUUUAUGUAUGUACGAUGGCUGAAAGAGAUUAUGCAUUAGAAAUGUGGAGGCUUCUUGAUCCAGAAGCUCACCUCAUUGCAACAAAACAGCUUCUUGAUCGUGUUGUUUGUGUUAAAUCAGGUUCUAGGAAAUCUUUGCUGAAUGUCUUCCAAUCCGGUUCAUGUCAUCCAAAGAUGGCCAUGGUUAUUGAUGACCGUUCAAAGGUUUGGGAAGACAAAGACCAACCGCGUGUUCAUGUAGUUCCAGCAUUUACGCCUUACUAUGCUCCUCAAGCAGAGGCAGCAAGUGUGGUCCCUGUUCUUUGUGUGGCAAGGAAUGUUGCAUGCGAUGUCAGGGGUUGUUACUUCAAAGAAUUUGAUGAGAGUUUGUUGCGACGGAUUCUCGAAAUUUCUUAUGAAGAUGAAGUGGCUGAUCUACCUCCUGCUCCUGAUGUGAGCAGCUACUUGAUGUCAGAGGAAGCUGGCUUUGUAUCCAAUGAGAGUGUGAAUGCUCCAAUUUGUGAAGGAAUGAAUGGUGUCGAAGUGGAAAGGAGACUCAAUCAACCGGAUGAUAAGCAUGUAAUAGACAUGGCCAAUAACCCUACUACAAGCCAAACGGAUGUUCGAGCAGAUACUCCUCAGUUUCCGCCGCCUCUUAAUACGAAUGUCAUUGGACCAAAAUCUUUAAGAACCUUACUGCCUUCUCUAAAGCCUGGUUUGCUUGGGGCCCCUAUCAGACGAGAUCUCUCUGCUGAUCAUGACAUGAAGAGAGGACUCCUUGCAAUGAAACCUGGUAUAGAUCUCAGGACACAGAACUUCGGUGAUCCCCCAAUUCUCUCCAGAAUGCCCGGACAAUUACCACCAUGCGGAUUACAGGUUCAAGGAAGUUCAUUAGUGGAUGAUGACUCCAGUAAAGGACCUCAAAAUAGUCGAUCUUCAGGACUCGUUCAAGAAUCUGAUGCUUCAAAAGCUGAUAAACCACGGUCUAGCAACAAUUCACAAGUUUUGGCAGGAGUUGCUAUAUCUCAAAAUCGAGCAACUAGCAAUAACAAAGAAUAUCAAACUGAAGCAGGGAAAGUUACCAUACCUCCGCCCCCUUCUUUGUACAUUGGAGUGCUACAAGAUAUUGGUCGUAGAUGCAGCUCAAAGGUUGAGUUCAAAACUGUUGUCAGUACCAGCAAGGAUUUGCAAUUUUCAGUUGAGGUUUUGUUUACUGGCGAGAAGAUUGGUGUUGGAUUGGGUAAGACAAGGAAAGAUGCUCAACAACAAGCUGCUGAGAAUGCGCUUCACAAUUUGGCAGAUAAGUAUGCUGCACAUAUGAAGCCACUUUUGGGACCCGUGGAUACAGAUCUCGAUAAGCUUUCUAUUGGAGCCGAAAAUGGAUUUUUAUGGGACACCAUUGCUCCUGCAGUUAACGAAUUGCCAAAGGAAGAAGAUGUUUCGCAUAAAGAGAAGAACUCCGAGGUGCGAAUUACUAGUAAUAAUCCAUCAGAUAGAUGAUUUGAUUUUUCUGCUUCAAAAACAUAGGUGAUGCUUGGAUAAAGGGUAUGUAGGAAAGUAAUUUCCAGAUGGGGGGUUACUGCCCCAACCUCCUCCCCCUCUCUACUUCAUCUCAUUGCAUCGAGAUGGAACGAUGACACCGAAACAAUGAAGGCAAAUUGAGCUGCUUCAUGUUUUCCCAAUGCUGCUUCCUCUUAUGCAAGCCUCUGGAAAAUGAUUAAAAGGCUUGUGAUGAACCUGGGAGUGCCAAUUCUGAUUCGGCAAAUCAGCAGCAGCAGCAGCAUGUUCAGAAGCGGCUGAGUUCCCCAAG